UGCAAUAUAUUCUAAAUUUUACACAUGCUCUUGAAAAAAAAAAAACUGGAGUUUCCCCGUAUUUCCUCUCCACUAGUAACACAUUCUUUGCCACAGUUGCCUUCACUUGAAAUUCCAAGCGAGGACCUUAUAGAACCUUAUUGAGACAUUAUAAUUUCAGUAUUUUUGUUGUAUAGACUCUUUAUUAGAGCAUUGAUUAAUGUUGGUAACGUUUUUUUUUUUUUAUAUAUAUAUAUAUAUAUACAGGGAAAUAUUGGAUUUCCAGGCAUGCCUGGACCUAAAGGUUCUAGGGGAGUUUCAGGGACACCAGGAUACUCUGGCCCACCAGGACUACCGGGGUUCCCUGGAAAAGAGGGGCCGAGAGGGCCUCAUGGUCUCCCAGGAUGCAAUGGAACAAAGGUAA
This is a long non-coding RNA of Cyprinus carpio (common carp), 403 nucleotides long. NCBI's taxonomy places the organism in Eukaryota, Metazoa, Chordata, Actinopteri, Cypriniformes, Cyprinidae. The record is from Ensembl.